AUUGAACGCUGGCGGCAUGCCUAACACAUGCAAGUCGAACGGUAACGCGAGGAGCUUGCUCCUUGGCGACGAGUGGCGGACGGGUGAGUAAUGCUUGGGAAUCUACCCAGUAGCGGGGGACAACAUUCGGAAACGGAUGCUAAUACCGCAUACGCGCUACGGUGGAAAGCGGGGGAUCUUCGGACCUCGCGCUAUUGGAUGAGCCCAAGUCGGAUUAGCUUGUUGGUAGGGUAAUGGCCUACCAAGGCGACGAUCCGUAGCUGGUCUGAGAGGACGAUCAGCCACACUGGGACUGAGACACGGCCCAGACUCCUACGGGAGGCAGCAGUGGGGAAUAUUGGACAAUGGGCGCAAGCCUGAUCCAGCAAUGCCGCGUGUGUGAAGAAGGCCUGCGGGUUGUAAAGCACUUUCAGUAGAGAAGAAAAGCCUAGGGUUAAUACCCCUGAGUCUUGACGUAACCUACAGAAGAAGCACCGGCUAACUCCGUG
Molecule: ribosomal RNA, 488 nt
Filed under: uncultured bacterium
Lineage: Bacteria
Description: bacterial SSU rRNA
Rfam family: Bacterial small subunit ribosomal RNA
Source: RNAcentral